Molecule: transfer RNA, 90 nt
Filed under: Gammaproteobacteria bacterium
Lineage: Bacteria; Pseudomonadati; Pseudomonadota; Gammaproteobacteria
Also listed under: 2 other names
Description: tRNA-Ser
Rfam family: tRNA
About the family: Transfer RNA (tRNA) molecules are approximately 80 nucleotides in length. Their secondary structure includes four short double-helical elements and three loops (D, anti-codon, and T loops).
Source: RNAcentral
GGAGAGGUGGCAGAGCGGUUGAAUGCACCGGUCUUGAAAACCGGAGGCUCCUUACGGGGCUCGUGAGUUCGAAUCUCACCCUCUCCGCCA